Molecule: long non-coding RNA, 2768 nt
Organism: Heterocephalus glaber (naked mole-rat)
Lineage: Eukaryota; Metazoa; Chordata; Mammalia; Rodentia; Bathyergidae
Source: Ensembl
AAGACAAGCACAAGGUCAGAUAGCAUCCAUUAAUUGUUUUUUUCUUUGGUACUGGGGAUCAAACUCGGGUCCUCCCCGGCCCCAUCCAUCCAAUAUUUAAAGAAGAUAUAAUAUUAAUUUUCCUAAAACUUGCAGAAAACAGAAGAACAAUACCUGAUUAAUUCCAUGAGGACUGUAUAGUAGGCAGAAUUCCAAAGCUAUCUCUUCAAGGUUCCUCUUUCCUAGUCAGUCGGGUGGCAGUCAAGGAACCGCGGCCGAAACUGUGGGCGCUGAGAAGCAGCCGAUCCGCACCGACCCUCGCCGGAUUCGGGCUGUUCGCCCCGCCCCGAAGCCCUCCCGGGCGCGUGCGCGCCAACCAGCCAGAGCGUAGGGCACGUGCUCGCGCCAGCGCGAACCCGGGGCGCCGAGCUCGAGGCAGUUACAGCCAACCGGCGCGCGAGCGAGGAUCAAGCGCGAGGCUGCCCACGCGCCAGACACCUUCGAGUGGAAGGCGCGGGGCGGGAGGCGGGCUGUAGCCGGUCCAGUUACCGCUCCUCUCAGGCGCUCGGCUAGCGCGCCUGCGUUGUGGGAUCUCGGGCGUUGCCGAAUGUUGGGAAUUACCGAAAGUCUAGAAGAGUGGGACACACUAAAUGGUAGGCGGUACUGGUGGGACGCGCUCUCUGGUUGGAGUACCGAACCUCCCAAGGCCAGCAGUGAGGCGGGCCGGGGCGGGCUGGGCUGAGGAAAUAGCGCCUGCCAGAGCGGAGGGCCGAGCUGCAACUGACGGAAAGAGCCGAAACUCCCCCGGAGGCGAACGAAGGUGGGGGCGGGGACCUCACGAGCGGCUUCUGCGCCACGUCACCGUUUGGGGUCUCUCAGACCGCCCUCCACUGAGCUGCUCACGAUGACGCCCCGAAGACUAUGCCUCUCCCUUUCGCCACCUUCCAGACCCAAGUUUUGCUCCAGAAGGUUCUUUUCAAAGCUACCAGUUUGGGCCGCAGGUUUAUCUCAGUGGCGCCAGCGCCUGCCUGGCAAGCGCAAGGUCCUGAGUUCGACCUGGGUUCCGCAAAAAACAAAACAAAACAAAACAAAAAAACGCAAGCAAAGCCAUCAACUUCGGGAAACGCAGAACCUCCGGGGAAUACUGGAGGCGGACGCACGGCCGACGAAGAGGAUGCGCUGGCCAGCCCCAGAAUAAGUUCGUCUCGGGGGCAAGCUGAGAGUUCUCUGCCCAGUCGGGGUUCGCCAGACGCACUGCCCAAACCGUUCGACUUGGUGAAGGACUUCUGAUCGCCCAGCUGUCGGCUUCCCUCUGUGCCGCUGAUCCCUCCGUCUUCAUAGAUUCCCAACCUCCAGCAUCCCCAGAGCCGAACCACCUCUACUGUCUGUGCCUGUGGGAGGCGCUCGCCUUACAGUCCACUGGUCGGUGUCCGUUGGGAGGCGCUGAAGGCUGAGAUUCAGUCUGCAUUGAAAAGAUGCAUUAGAGUCUGUCCCCACCAGACCUUUUGAGGCCAACCAAUGGGGCUGUGAAAAGGCACCAAGAAGCCCUAGAGUGUAUAAAUGGGUAGACACCACAGACACAGUGUAGUUUUAUUUUUCACGUUUUGUUAUUUCAGUCACAGUGCAUGUAAUAGAGUAGUAGUACAGUAGAUAUAUACCGAGCCAUCUGAUCUUUGUGGUUCUUAACUUUGCAUGCAAUAGGGAGAGGGUCAAAAUUUGGAGCCCAUUGACCCUGAUUCUACUCCAACAUUUUUUUUUUUUUUUUUUGGUCAAAACCUCACUUAGUUCAGGCUGGCCUUGAACUCAUGUAGUCCAGGCAGGCCUUAAACUCACGGAGAGCCACCUGCUUCAGCCUGCCAAGUGCUGGGACUACAGAUGUGUUAGCACACCCAGAUCCAAUAGUUUAACAGAUCUGAAGAAACAAGGGCAGCACAUUGUGGUUCAUACCUGUAAUCUCAGUACUUAGGUGAUUUAGGCAGGACGAUCACAAGUUCAAGACUAGCCUAGAUUUGGUGACAUCUAGUCUCAAAAAUGUCUUGGGAUAUAGCUCAGUGGUAAAGUGCCCCUGGAUCCAUUCCUCAGUACCUGAAAAGGAAAGGAGGGGGUAAGGGAGAGAAAGGGAAGCAAAAAACAAAGUCAUCAGCCAGCCAGUUAGUUAUGGUAGUAGACCAGGUGUCUGCUUACUAGUGGAUCUUCUUUCAAAGACUCAAAUAGAAACCAUCCAUUGAAAUAUCUGCUCUCAUUCCACCUUGCCCCAGAAAGAAUGGCUGCUAUCAAGAAAUCAACCAAUAACAAAUGCUGGCGGGGGUGUGGGGAGAAAGGAACCCUUCUCCAUUGCUGGAGGGAGUGCAGACUGGUGCGACCACUAUGGAAAUCAGUAUGGAGAUACCUCAAAGAGCUAGGACCAGAGGUUCCAUUUGACCCAGCUAUUCCCCUGCUGGGUAUCUUCCCAAAAGAAUUAAAAGAAUCAUACCACAGAGAUAUAUGUGCACCCAUGUUUAUAGCGGCAGUUUGUAAUAGCUAAAGCUUGGAAACAGCUGAAGUGCCCAUCAACUGGAAACUGGAUAAAGAAGAUGUGGGGUUUUUUUAUAAAGUGGAGUACUACUCAGCCAUAAAGAAUGAGAAACGAGUCAUUUAUAGCAAAAUGGAUGCAUAUUGAGGCCAUACUCUUAAGUGAAAUAAAUAGGACACACGUGUAAAUACCGAAUAGUUUCUCUAGUAUGAGAAACUGAAAGUGUAAAUAAGGGUUAAAAUGAUUAAAAUGAAUAAUUGAUAAUUUGAAAUAGGAA